RNAcentral lists this ribosomal RNA (872 nucleotides) under Aquimarina sp. AD15. RNAcentral's name for it is "bacterial SSU rRNA". It matches the Rfam family "Bacterial small subunit ribosomal RNA", at positions 57 to 926 of the family's 1533-position model. Lineage: Bacteria; Pseudomonadati; Bacteroidota; Flavobacteriia; Flavobacteriales; Flavobacteriaceae. The record is from RNAcentral.
GCAGUCGAGGGGUAACGUGAGUGCUUGCACUUGACGACGACCGGCGCACGGGUGCGUAACGCGUAUAGAACCUACCUUAUAGUAAGGGAUAGCCCAGAGAAAUUUGGAUUAAUACCUUAUAGUAUGAUAAGAUGGCAUCAUUUAAUCAUUAAAGAUUUAUUGCUAUAAGAUGGCUAUGCGUUCUAUUAGCUAGUUGGUAUGGUAACGGCAUACCAAGGCAACGAUAGAUAGGGGUCCUGAGAGGGAGAUCCCCCACACUGGUACUGAGACACGGACCAGACUCCUACGGGAGGCAGCAGUGAGGAAUAUUGGACAAUGGAGGCAACUCUGAUCCAGCCAUGCCGCGUGUAGGAAGACUGCCCUAUGGGUUGUAAACUACUUUUAUAGAGGAAGAAACAGUUCCACGUGUGGAACUCUGACGGUACUCUACGAAUAAGGAUCGGCUAACUCCGUGCCAGCAGCCGCGGUAAUACGGAGGAUCCAAGCGUUAUCCGGAAUCAUUGGGUUUAAAGGGUCCGUAGGCGGGUCUGUAAGUCAGUGGUGAAAGUUUUCGGCUCAACCGGAAAAUUGCCAUUGAUACUGCAGGUCUUGAAUCAUUAUGAAGUGGUUAGAAUAAGUAGUGUAGCGGUGAAAUGCAUAGAUAUUACUUAGAAUACCGAUUGCGAAGGCAGAUCACUAAUAAUGUAUUGACGCUAAGGGACGAAAGCGUGGGUAGCGAACAGGAUUAGAUACCCUGGUAGUCCACGCCGUAAACGAUGGUUACUAGCUGUUCGGACUUCGGGUCUGAGUGGCUAAGCGAAAGUGAUAAGUAACCCACCUGGGGGAGUACGUUCGCAGGAAUGAAACUCAGAGGAAUUGACGGGGGCCCGCAC